GUUCGUCCGCCCUGGGUUAGUCGGGACCUAAGCUGAGGCCGAAAGGCGUAGGUGAUGGACAACAGGUUGAUAUUCCUGUACUACCGAUAACCGUUUGAGAGAAGGGAUGACACAGUAGGAUAAGCUAAGCACACUGUUGGUUAUGUGUGCCCAAGCAUUGAGGCAGUCAAAGUAGGCAAAUCCGCUUUGAUAAUGCUGGGAUGUG
Molecule: ribosomal RNA, 205 nt
Filed under: Clostridioides difficile
Lineage: Bacteria; Bacillati; Bacillota; Clostridia; Peptostreptococcales; Peptostreptococcaceae
Description: partial 23S ribosomal RNA
Rfam family: Bacterial large subunit ribosomal RNA
Source: RNAcentral